This 770-nucleotide ribosomal RNA is filed under the name Ferribacterium sp. enrichment culture. Its description in RNAcentral is "bacterial SSU rRNA". It matches the Rfam family "Bacterial small subunit ribosomal RNA", at positions 221 to 982 of the family's 1533-position model. The record is from RNAcentral. Lineage: Bacteria; Pseudomonadati; Pseudomonadota; Betaproteobacteria; Rhodocyclales; Azonexaceae.
AUUGAGCGGCCGAUAUCAGAUUAGCUAGUUGGUGAGGUAAAGGCUCACCAAGGCGACGAUCUGUAGCGGGUCUGAGAGGAUGAUCCGCCACACUGGAACUGAGACACGUUCCAGACUCCUACGGGAGGCAGCAGUGGGGAAUUUUGGACAAUGGGGGCAACCCUGAUCCAGCCAUGCCGCGUGAGUGAAGAAGGCCUUCGGGUUGUAAAGCUCUUUCAGCCGGGAAGAAAACGCAUGGGUUAAUACCCUGUGUGGAUGACGGUACCGGAAUAAGAAGCACCGGCUAACUACGUGCCAGCAGCCGCGGUAAUACGUAGGGUGCGAGCGUUAAUCGGAAUUACUGGGCGUAAAGCGUGCGCAGGCGGUUUGUUAAGAUAGGCGUGAAAUCCCCGGGCUCAACCUGGGAACUGCGUUUAUGACUGGCAGGCUAGAGUAUGGCAGAGGGGGGUGGAAUUCCACGUGUAGCAGUGAAAUGCGUAGAGAUGUGGAGGAACACCGAUGGCGAAGGCAGCCCCCUGGGCCAAUACUGACGCUCAUGCACGAAAGCGUGGGUAGCAAACAGGAUUAGAUACCCUGGUAGUCCACGCCCUAAACGAUGUCAACUAGGUGUUGGGAGGGUAAAACCUUUUAGUACCGGAGCUAACGCGUGAAGUUGACCGCCUGGGGAGUACGGCCGCAAGGUUAAAACUCAAAGGAAUUGACGGGGACCCGCACAAGCGGUGGAUGAUGUGGAUUAAUUCGAUGCAACGCGAAAAACCUUACCUACCCUU